CCUACGGGAGGCAUCAGUGAGGAAUAUUGGUCAAUGGGCUUACGCCUGAACCAGCCAAGUCGCGUGAGGGAAGACUGCCCUAUGGGUUGUAAACCUCUUUUGUCAGGGAGCAAUUGGCGCUACGUGUAGCGUUAUCGAGAGUACCUGAAGAAAAAGCAUCGGCUAACUCCGUGCCAGCAGCCGCGGUAAUACGGAGGAUGCGAGCGUUAUCCGGAUUUAUUGGGUUUAAAGGGUGCGUAGGCGGAAUGCCAAGUCAGCGGUAAAAUCGCGGGGCUCAACCUCGCUCCGCCGUUGAAACUGGCGGUCUUGAGUGGGCGAGAAGUAUGCGGAAUGCGUGGUGUAGCGGUGAAAUGCAUAGAUAUCACGCAGAACUCCGAUUGCGAAGGCAGCAUACCGGCGCCCAACUGACGCUGAAGCACGAAAGCGUGGGUAUCGAACAGGAUUAGAUACCCGUGUAGUC
This 460-nucleotide ribosomal RNA is filed under the name uncultured bacterium. Its description in RNAcentral is "partial 16S ribosomal RNA". It matches the Rfam family "Bacterial small subunit ribosomal RNA", at positions 338 to 795 of the family's 1533-position model. The record is from RNAcentral.